UACGGAGGGGGCAAGCGUUAUUCGGAAUUAUUGGGCGUAAAGGGCGCGUAGGCGGCUAGAUGUGUCAAAGGUGAAAUCCCUCGGCUCAACUGAGGAACUGCCUUUGAAACUGUCUGGCUUGAGGCCGGGAGAGGGUAGCGGAAUUCCCAGUGUAGCGGUGAAAUGCGUAGAUAUUGGGAAGAACACCGGUGGCGAAAGCGCCUUGCUGGGUCUGCACUGACACUGAGGGACGAAAGCUAGGGGAGCGAAAGGG
Molecule: ribosomal RNA, 253 nt
Filed under: uncultured bacterium
Lineage: Bacteria
Description: partial 16S ribosomal RNA
Rfam family: Bacterial small subunit ribosomal RNA
Source: RNAcentral